RNAcentral lists this small RNA (781 nucleotides) under Pongo abelii (Sumatran orangutan). RNAcentral describes it as "processed transcript". The record is from RNAcentral. Lineage: Eukaryota; Metazoa; Chordata; Mammalia; Primates; Hominidae.
AGGCCUUCGCUGUCUGUCAGGGCUAUGACCCUCCCGAGGGCUUCAUCCCGGACCUGAGCAAACCCCUGCUGGACCAUUCUUACGACCCAGAUUUCAACCAGCUGGAUGGUCCCACCCGCAUCAUUGUGCCUUUUGUGACCUGUGGGGACCUGAGCUCCUAUGAUUCGGACCGCAGUUACCCACUGGACCUAGAGGGCAGCUCAGAGUACAAGUACACUCCACCCACACAGCCCCCCAUCUCACCACCAUACCAGGAGGCCUGCACGUUGAAGAAGAAGGGGCAGCUGGCCAAGGAGAUCCGCCCCCAGGACUGCCCCAUCAGCAGAGUGGACACGUUUUCCCAGCCCCUGGCCGCCCCUCAGUGCCACACCCUGCUGGCCCCUGAGAUGGAAGACAAUGAAAUGAGUUGUUCACCUUAACCCAUUAUGGUGUUGUUCUAGGUUUGGAGAUAGAGCAGGGAGCAAAACAGAAAUAUCUUGGCUCUCACAGUACUUCCAGUUUGGAAAAGAGGCAAGAAUCAAUAAAACAGUCUCUGGCAAGCUGAUACAACUCAGAAACUGCUCAAUGUCAGGAAAACCGGAACUUGUUAAUGAACUUGUUUUCAAAAUAUCAUCUCAUCAAUGAGGCCUGGACAAACAAGCCCUGAGGAGGGAUCUGCAACAACCCUGAAGAUAACAAGGAAAGAAACCAUGGAAGUCAGUCUGUACUGCAGUGGGAAUUCUUGAGUGAGGUCUUACCUCUUCUUUAAACCUCUUCAGGAGUGUCCUGAUUAUAUCCAGAA